GAUGAACGCUGGCGGCGUGCCUAAUACAUGCAAGUCGAGCGAACAGACGAGGAGCUUGCUCCUUCGACGUUAGCGGCGGACGGGUGAGUAACACGUAGGUAACCUACCUAUAAGACUGGGAUAACUUCGGGAAACCGGAGCUAAUACCGGAUAAUAUUUCGAACCGCAUGGUUCGAUAGUGAAAGAUGGCUUUGCUAUCACUUAUAGAUGGACCUGCGCCGUAUUAGCUAGUUGGUAAGGUAACGGCUUACCAAGGCAACGAUACGUAGCCGACCUGAGAGGGUGAUCGGCCACACUGGAACUGAGACACGGUCCAGACUCCUACGGGAGGCAGCAGUAGGGAAUCUUCCGCAAAGGGCGAAAGCCUGACGGAGCAACGCCGCGUGAGUGAUGAAGGUCUUCGGAUCGUAAAACUCUGCUAUUAGGGAAGAACAAACGUGUAAGUAACUGUGCACGUCUUGACGGUACCUAAUCAGAAAGCCACGGCUAACUACGUG
This 497-nucleotide ribosomal RNA is filed under the name uncultured bacterium. Its description in RNAcentral is "partial 16S ribosomal RNA". It matches the Rfam family "Bacterial small subunit ribosomal RNA", at positions 28 to 507 of the family's 1533-position model. The record is from RNAcentral.